UGUAGUGGAAUGUUCGGAAACACAUAGGUGCCUAACACCUACUGAUUUAAUUCUGUGUCUUUAGGUGUCCACAGACAUUUUAAAAACUGGCCCGCUGCCUCAAUUCCCUAGCUGUAAAAUUUGGAGAACAGCAGUGCCCUACAUCACCGGGAAGAGAUUGUGGGGUGGCACCAUGCUGAAAAUGGAAUUGAUGAGCUGGGAGAAAACAAUUGCUUUGGACCAAUGCCAUGUUCCAGAUAUGGGGAGCAAUGAGCUGAUGGUGGAGAGGCUGGAGACUGACUCCCCAACCCCACAAAACAAUUGGGGCUGAAGUGGACAAACAAAGUAACUGAAUCUUGAAAAUGGGCCGAAAUGAAACAUCCCGGACCUGAGCACCCAAGCCAGUAGGGUAAGGGUCUCCAGGUGAGAAGGGCCUUAAAGAAAAGGGACUGAGUGGUUUUACAGCCUACAUGAGCUGAGAUAAGGAUAAUCAACUCCUGUGCUUUCAGGGCUUGCUCUGUGAGGGGUAGUGGGGAGUAGCCAGAGAUGUGUUGCUGGAGGCAGGAUGCUUGACUUGAUGGGCCCAUCCACUGUUUUAUUAUUAGUUAUGUUACACUGUUGCCUAGAGGCCCUAAUGUGCUGCGGGUUGUAGAGACACUUAGCGACCAUCCCCGUCCCAAAGAUUUUUGUUGGCUUUGUUUGAGGUCACCCAGGGAGUCUGUGGCAGAGCUGAGAACUGAGCCCAGAUGUCCCAGUCAAGAGCCUUAACCACACAACUAUCUUGAGAGUGGGUGUUGAGGGGAGAUCCAGCCCACAAGACAUUUCUUCUCAGACCCAUGAGACUCCUCUGUGCUUUGCCAUUGGUGGUGUCACAGCUGUGUUUGAGGGCGUGGGUGGAGUCUGUCAUGAGUAUAUUCAGUCCAUCUUUCACCCGAUGACACGUGCCCUGAGCAGACCCCACUACAUCAAGGAUGGAGAGAAGCAUUAACUCCCUCUUCCAUUUUGGGCCUGCAGUGAAAUCUAGUAGAUGGGGUCAAGGUUUAAGGCCGGGGGGACCAUUAUGACCAUCUAGACCAGGGGUCGGCAGCCUUUCAGAAGCGGUGUGCUGAGUCUUCAUUUAUUCACUCUAAUUUAAGGUUUCGCGUGCCAGUAAUACAUUUUAAGAAGGUCUCUUUCUAUAAGUCUAUAAUACUUUACAUACAACAAUAGUUUAGUUAUAUAAAUAAGGUUUUUAAAACGUUUAAGAAGCUUCAUUUAAAAUUAAAUAAAAAUGCAGAGCCCCCCGGACCA
Chrysemys picta bellii (western painted turtle) is the source of this 1269-nucleotide long non-coding RNA. The record is from Ensembl. Lineage: Eukaryota; Metazoa; Chordata; Testudines; Emydidae.